GAUGAACGCUGGCGGCGUGCCUAAUACAUACAAGUCGAGCGAACAGACGAGGAGCUUGCUCCUCUGACGUUAGCGGCGGACGGGUGAGUAGCACGUGGAUAACCUACCUAUAAGACUGGGAUAACUUCGGGAAACCGGAGCUAAUACCGGAUAAUAUAUUGAACCGCAUGGUUCAAUAGUGAAAGACGGUUUUGCUGUCACUUAUAGAUGGAUCCGCGCCGCAUUAGCUAGUUGGUAAGGUAACGGCUUACCAAGGCAACGAUGCGUAGCCGACCUGAGAGGGUGAUCGGCCACACUGGAACUGAGACACGGUCCAGACUCCUACGGGAGGCAGCAGUAGGGAAUCUUCCGCAAUGGGCGAAAGCCUGACGGAGCAACGCCGCGUGAGUGAUGAAGGUCUUCGGAUCGUAAAACUCUGUUAUUAGGGAAGAACAAAUGUGUAAGUAACUAUGCACGUCUUGACGGUACCUAAUCAGAAAGCCACGGCUAACUACGUG
This 497-nucleotide ribosomal RNA is filed under the name uncultured bacterium. RNAcentral describes it as "partial 16S ribosomal RNA". It matches the Rfam family "Bacterial small subunit ribosomal RNA", at positions 28 to 507 of the family's 1533-position model. The record is from RNAcentral.